ACAGCAGGCCGGUCUGCCGCUGGCCCACACGCGCAAGCGCAAGGGCGAGAGGAAAGUCCGGGCAGCACAGGGCAUCCCGCUUCCUAACAGAAAGAGGCUCGCGAGAGCCUGCCGAUGUAGAAGAAAACAACCGCCUUGCCUGGGCAAGGUAAGGGUGAGAAGGUGGGGCAAGAGCCCACCAGGCCAGUGGUGACACUGGUGCUGUACAUCCCGGGAGCUGAAAGUUCAUGUAAACCGGCGACACAAAGAGAGGGCGGCCCGUCCAAGCCGGAGGGUAGAACGAUAGAGGCUGGUGGUGACACCAGCACUGGAUAAAUGGCAGACACCCCGUACCAAGGGGCACACAGAACCCGGCUUACAGGCCAGCUGUCCUU
RNAcentral lists this RNase P RNA (374 nucleotides) under Prevotellaceae bacterium. RNAcentral's name for it is "RNase P RNA component class A". It matches the Rfam family "Bacterial RNase P class A". From Rfam's summary of the family: Ribonuclease P (RNase P) is a ubiquitous endoribonuclease, found in archaea, bacteria and eukarya as well as chloroplasts and mitochondria. Its best characterised activity is the generation of mature 5'-ends of tRNAs by cleaving the 5'-leader elements of precursor-tRNAs. The record is from RNAcentral. Lineage: Bacteria; Pseudomonadati; Bacteroidota; Bacteroidia; Bacteroidales; Prevotellaceae.